UACAGAGGGGGCAAGCGUUGUUCGGAAUUACUGGGCGUAAAGGGCGCGUAGGCGGCCUUCUAAGUCGAACGUGAAAUCCCUAGGCUCAACCUAGGAACUGCGUCCGAUACUGGGAGGCUUGAAUCCGGGAGAGGGAUGCGGAAUUCCAGGUGUAGCGGUGAAAUGCGUAGAUAUCUGGAGGAACACCGGUGGCGAAGGCGGCAUCCUGGACCGGUAUUGACGCUGAGGCGCGAAAGCCAGGGGAGCAAACAGG
This 253-nucleotide ribosomal RNA is filed under the name uncultured bacterium. RNAcentral describes it as "partial 16S ribosomal RNA". It matches the Rfam family "Bacterial small subunit ribosomal RNA", at positions 524 to 776 of the family's 1533-position model. The record is from RNAcentral.